GUUUACGAUUACACCAUGGAAAGUAAACCAGGACUCGUUCGAUCCCUGAAUUUAAGCAACGUCGGCUGCGUGAGUAUCUGGCAGGUAGACCCCUUUGGAAAACUCGGUAUCGAAGACA
RNAcentral lists this ribosomal RNA (118 nucleotides) under Leptotrombidium deliense. Lineage: Eukaryota; Metazoa; Arthropoda; Arachnida; Trombidiformes; Trombiculidae. The record is from RNAcentral.